CUUAUGUAGAGUUUGAUCCUAGCUCAGGAUGAACGCUGGCGGCGUGGAUAAGGCAUGCAAGUCAAGGGGGCCCGCAAGGGCAACCGGCAAACGGGGUAGUAACGGGUGGGAACGUACCAAGAAGUCGUGAAUAACCAGUCGAAAGAUUGACUAAUACACGAUAGUCCCUACGGGGUAAAGAUUUAUCGCUUCUUGAACGGCCUGCCUCGUAUCAGCUAGUUGGUAAGGUAAUGGCUUACCAAGGCUAUGACGCGUAGGGGAGGUGAGAGCCUGACCCCCACCACUGGAACUGAGACACUGUCCAGACACCUACGGGUGGCUGCAGUCGAGAAUCUUCCGCAAUGCACGAAAGUGUGACGGAGCGACGCCGCGUGGUUGAUGAAGCACUUCGGUGCGUAAAGACCUUUUAUGAGGGAAGAAGUUUUGACGGUACCUCAUGAAUAAGAGGCUGCUAAUCUCGUGCCAGCAGCAGCGGUAAUACGAGAGCCUCAAGCGUUAUCCGGAAUUAUUGGGCGUAAAGGGUGUGUAGGCGGUAAUGUUAGUCUCAUGUCAAAGCCUGUCGCUUAACGACAGAUCCGCAUGGGAAACGGCAUAACUAGGAGGGUGCGAGAGGUGAAUGGAACUCAUGGUGUAGGGGUGAAAUCCGUUGAUAUCAUGGGGAACGCCAAAAGCGAAGGCAAUUCACUGGCGCAUACCUGACGCUGAAACACGAAAGCCAGGGUAUCGAAUGGGAUUAGAUACCCCAGUAGUCCUGGCCCUAAACGAUGACAACUAGCUUUUCGGAGUAUCGACCCUCUGAGAGGCGAAGCUAACGCGUUAAGUUGUCCGCCUGGGGAGUACGGCCGCAAGGCUAAAACUCAAAGGAAUAGACGGGGGCUCGCACAAGCGGUGGAUCAUGUGGUUUAAUUCGAUGCUAAACGAAAAACCUCACCGAGGUUAGAAAUGGAGACGAAUCUCAGAGGAAACUUUGAGAGCCUUCGGGCGGCUCCACAGGUGAUGCAUGGCUGUCGUCAGUUCGUGGCUUGAGCUGUUCCCUUAAGUGGGGUAACGAACGCAACCCCUAUUGUCUGUUACAAGUGUCAGGCAAGACUGCCCCCCAUCUGCGCAGAGCGCAGAAAUCCGAAAUACUAAAUCCGAAAUCCGAAACAAACACUUUCGAAUUUCGUGCUUAGUGCUUCGAAUUUUCUCGCACUACUGUGCGUAGAUGGGGGGGAGGAAGGCGGGGAUGACGCCAAGUCAGCAUGUCCCUCUGAUACCUCGGGCUACACACGUGAUACAAUGGAUGGUACAACAGGCAGCGACGGAGCGAUCCUGAGCUAAUCCUUAUAAAGCCAUCCUCAGUUCGGAUUGUAGUCUGCAACUCGACUACAUGAAGUUGGAAUCGCUAGUAAUCGCGGGUCAGCAUACCGCGGUGAAUACGUUCUCGAGCCUUGUACUCACCGCCCGCCAAGUCAAAGGAGCCGGGAGUGCCCGAAGUCCAUGCUCGUCAUGGCCGAAGGCAAGUUCGGUGACUAGGGUUAAGGCGUAACAAGGCACGGCUAGCGGAAGCUGGUCGUGGAUUUUGUCCAAU
RNAcentral lists this ribosomal RNA (1570 nucleotides) under Minisyncoccota bacterium. RNAcentral's name for it is "bacterial SSU rRNA". It matches the Rfam family "Bacterial small subunit ribosomal RNA". The record is from RNAcentral. Lineage: Bacteria; Bacillati; Minisyncoccota.